AAGUUACAAGUCAUGGUCACAUCAAAUCACACUUAAUGACUCAUGGUGAUUUGCUUAACAACUACAGCUGGAACUGAUGUAAAUCGAUGUGCUCAUGUGAUAUUUCAUUUAAUGAUCAUGCCACUCAGUGAGAGAGUUGCCAGUCCAAACUGCAAUGGGGAAGUGAACACUAUCGUUGUCCUGCAGUCUCCGGGAGCGGCUAUCUGGAGCACAGUGCACAUAGAUACACAAAUGGUCAUAUUUGGGUGAAGAAAGGACGAUAUACAGCAGCAUUUUUGGAUUCAGUCAGCAAGGUACCUGAUUCUGUCAGCCAGGUACCCUCAAGAACAUACAUAGUUUCCGCUCCUGCUAUAUCAAGCAUUACUUCUUCUGCACUAUUUAAAUAGUUAUCAGAAUAUGGAAAGCUAAGUAAAUAUUGAGUGUAGUAGGCUACAAUAUGAAGAACAUACUUAUCUAUUUUUUAAAAAAUUGA
Molecule: long non-coding RNA, 472 nt
Organism: Pantherophis guttatus
Lineage: Eukaryota; Metazoa; Chordata; Lepidosauria; Squamata; Colubridae
Source: RefSeq, a predicted model, not a curated record